GUGAAGCAGCGGAGCGAUCGGGGCCGAACCUCCCCCUUCCCUCCGCCUCCCGAGCGGGGCUGGCGCCGAGUGGCGGAGCUCGCCGCUGCAGCCGGGACUGGCACCUCGGGCGAGCUUCGCUCCGUUCUUCCUCCUCCUCCUCCUCCUCGUCGUCGCCGCGCAGGGCUCUCCCCGGGGGGAGGCGGCGGGCAGCGGCAGCCCGGCCGGGGCAGCAUGAGGACCGGCGGGGGCCGGAGGGGGUAGGCGGCCGGCCGGGGGGGGAGUCCCGCCACGCUCACCCCGCGGGGAGGCGGUCGGUGCCGGGGAGCACCGGCGGUCCCGGGAGCGGUCCCGGGAGCCCGGUCCCGGGGUCGCGGUGGGGCGGUCGGGAAGGUGGGGGGGGUGUCGCAGCAUGUGAGCGGCGCGGCCCGGCGGGAGGUUCGUCCGGCGGCAGGGCGGCCCCGCUGCCCCCCGUAGGGUGCGGGGAGGCGGCGGCAGCGGGGCCCGGCAUGCCGCGCUGCCGGAACUGCUGCCCGGCGGAGAGCUCGGUGCCGGUGCGGCGGGCUGCCCGCGGCCGCUCCCCCCGCCGCUCGGGGCCGCUGCCGGCCGCGGCGCGGGGCUCGGCGGGGCUCGGCAUGGCGCGGCGCUGCUCGCACUGAUCCCGGGGCGGCGGCGGCGGCGGCGGCGGCGGGGAGCGCCCAUGGCGCGGGGGUGCCGGGCCCGCCGCUGCGCACCCGGCUGCACGGGCUGCGGCACAUGUGCUCGCGGCGGGCGGCGCUGCCGCGGCGGGCGCUGUGGGUGCUGGCGUUCUGCACCGCGCUGGGCUUGCUGCUGUCCUGGUCCUCCAACCGCCUGCUGCACUGGCUCUCCUUCCCCUCGCACACCCAAGUGCGUACCGAGUGGAGCCGGCAGCUGCCUUUCCCCGCCGUCACCCUUUGCAACAACAACCCGCUCCGCUUCCCCCGGCUUUCCAAAGGGGAUCUUUACUACGCGGGUCACUGGCUGGGGUUGCUGCUGCCCAACCGCACCGCCCGCCCGCUGCUCACCGAGCUGCUGCGAGGCGACGAGGCGCGGCUCCGCUGGUUCGCCAAACUGGCCGAUUUUCGCCUCUUUUUGCCGCCCCGGCACUACGAAGGCAUCAGCGCCGAGUUCAUGGACCGCCUGGGCCACCAGCUGGAGGACAUGCUGCUCUCCUGCAAGUACCGCGGCGAGCUCUGCGGGCCCCACAACUUCUCCGCGGUGUUUACAAAAUAUGGGAAAUGCUACAUGUUUAACUCAGGAGAAGAAGGACGGCCUCUUCUUACCACAGUUAAGGGUGGGACAGGCAAUGGACUGGAAAUCAUGCUAGACAUACAGCAGGAUGAAUAUUUGCCAAUAUGGGGAGAAACAGAGGAGACAACAUUUGAGGCUGGAGUCAAAGUCCAGAUCCACAGCCAGUCCGAGCCACCCUUCGUCCAGGAGCUGGGGUUCGGGGUGGCCCCUGGAUUCCAGACCUUUGUGGCCACCCAAGAGCAAAGGCUGACGUACCUGCCUCCGCCGUGGGGUGAAUGCCGCUCGUCGGAUAUGGGCUUAGACUUCUUUCCCGUUUACAGCAUCACGGCCUGCAGGAUCGACUGCGAGACCCGCUACAUUGUGGAAAACUGCAACUGCAGGAUGGUUCACAUGCCAGGGGAUGCUCCCUUCUGCACGCCGGAGCAGUACAAGGAAUGCGCAGAGCCUGCACUCGGUUUGCUUGCUGAAAAGGACAGCAAUUACUGCAUCUGCAGGACACCCUGUAACCUGACCAGAUACAACAAAGAGCUCUCCAUGGUCAAGAUCCCCAGCAAGACCUCGGCCAAGUACCUGGAGAAGAAGUUCAACAAGUCAGAAAAAUAUAUCUCAGAGAAUAUUCUUGUGCUGGACAUAUUUUUUGAAGCACUCAACUAUGAGACAAUUGAGCAGAAGAAAGCCUAUGAAGUGGCAGCCUUACUUGGUGACAUUGGAGGCCAGAUGGGGCUCUUUAUCGGUGCUAGCAUCCUCACUAUACUAGAGCUCUUCGAUUAUAUAUAUGAGCUGAUCAAGGAGAAAUUAUUAGACCUACUUGGAAAAGAGGAAGAGGAAGGGAGCCAUGAUGAAAACGUGAGCACUUGUGACCCCAUGCCAAACCAUUCGGAAUCCAUCAGCCACACUGUGACCGUGCCGCUGCAGGCCACCCUGGGAACGCUGGAGGAGAUUGCCUGCUGACACCACCCGACCGCUCCACAGUGCCAACACCUAAGGAAGGGAAACUGCACAGGGAAGCAGGGACCGAGCUCAGUCUCUGAUUUUCACUACAAGAAGGAACUCGCGGGCCCAGCCAUCCCCUGAAAUCACCAUUACUAACGUCGUAGGCUGAAUUAGAAUAAAGAAACAAAAAGUCGCA
RNA transcript from Strigops habroptila (Kakapo), 2380 nucleotides. It is a transcript of the gene named acid-sensing ion channel 2, with no coding region annotated. The transcript is spliced from 11 exons. The record is from RefSeq and is a predicted model, not a curated record. NCBI's taxonomy places the organism in Eukaryota, Metazoa, Chordata, Aves, Psittaciformes, Psittacidae.